CUCUCUCCCUCUCCGCCUCCACGCCGCUGCCUCCCCUCCCUUCUCCCUCUCCGCCUGCCUCCGUCGCCCCUCCCCGCCGCCGCUCCUCCUGCUCUCCGCCGCCGCCGCCCGCUCCCGCGGGAUCCGGAUCCGGCGCGGGUGCGGCUUGGAGCGAGGGGCGCACGUGCCGGCCGGCGACGGCGCGGCUGCUCCAGCGCAUGGAGCAGAGCGACGGCCGCCGUGUGCCCAGGCCGUCCCGGCUGCGCCGCGCGCCGAGGCCCCCAGAGCACGCCCGCUUUGGGGGAAGCACGGACGAGGAGGAAAGCGACAGGGAUGGGCACUCCCUCGGUGCGGUGCCGCCCGUUGCUCUACACUCGUGACCGAUGCCGAUCUCUACUGUCCGUCUGCCCCCAUCCUCGCCUUCCUCCCGACCCUCUCUCUUGUUCCUUCGGCACCCCGCCACUCCAGCAGCGCAUCCAUCUCCGGAUCCGCGUUGAGGCGUCGCCGGUGACAGCAAUGAGGAAAGGAAAUUUCUCUUGAUUGGAUUCGUUCUCUCUCUCAAGCAGGUUAUUGAUAUAAAAUGCUUCUCUCUCUAUUCUUGCGACAGGAAGGAGUAUUUCUCUUGAUUGGAUUCCUUCUCUCCCUCAAGAGUUAUCGAUCUGAAAAAAUUCUCAUUGUGGAUGUGGACUGCUCAUCGAUCUAGCUCUGACUCUGACCUUGUACAUGCAUGUGCAUUGUUUUUUUUUCGCCAAACCGAUUUAUUUAGUGUGUUAGAUCAGUUUAAUCUUUUUCCUUGAAAAUUUAGAUACAUGUUUUGCACUCUCUGUAUCAGCUGGCUUCUUGACCAUGGCAUCUACUAUUUUGGAAGGGAAUUGCACAUUCUAAGGAUAUAUUAUGCUGCAGAUUGGAUAGAUGGAGCAUAGAAAAGGAGGCAAGGACUAAUUAUCUUUUCUAUAGUAAGAUCCUUGAAGCUCCUUAUGAGGAGGAAGUUUCACUGCUUUUGGAAAUAUUCGGAUUUAUGGUGCGUGGAUAUGCUGUAAUAUUGAUGCUCCAAAUGCCGGACAGACACCUGAUGGACAGGAUAGCCUGGUGCUUGAAUAUGCUGUAAUAUUGAUGCUCCAAAUGCUGGAGAAACAUCUGAUGGACAGGAUGGCCUGAUGCUCGGAUGUGCUGUCAUGGUGCUAAGACGUGCUGUAAUAUUGAUGCUCCAAGUUUUCGGACAGACACUUGAUGGAUAGGAUAGCCUGUGCUCUUAGAAAUGUUGUAAUAUUCAUGAUUCAAAUGCCGGAUAGACACCUAUGAUGGAUAUUGUACGCACACUGCUCAAAUGUUAGCAUAUUAACGAUGUAUUUGUUACCAUAUGCUGUGAUUUUGUGUUGAA
Molecule: long non-coding RNA, 1360 nt
Organism: Panicum hallii
Lineage: Eukaryota; Viridiplantae; Streptophyta; Magnoliopsida; Poales; Poaceae
Exons: 4
Source: RefSeq, a predicted model, not a curated record